Molecule: long non-coding RNA, 2277 nt
Organism: Tribolium castaneum (red flour beetle)
Lineage: Eukaryota; Metazoa; Arthropoda; Insecta; Coleoptera; Tenebrionidae
Exons: 6
Source: RefSeq, a predicted model, not a curated record
UCCACUCUAGUUAAGAUUACAAAAAGUAUAAAGGGAUCAACUUUUAGUGUGUGAAAUAAUUUUUAUUGAAAUAUCAACAGUCAACACAACCAUCAUGUCUAAACAUCCCGCAGGUUACUAUGGGGACUAUAACCCAGAUUUGGUUGUUAACCACGCUGGGUUAACCGAAGAGGAGGUGGACCACCUCCUCACCCAAAUUCCCGCGGGCACCUUCGAGUGGGUUUCCCUUAUUAACAUCUAUCUGCGACUGGAACCGCCCCCAUCCCUUGGAGGUUAUUUUGAUAUUUUUACCGUGGGGCGCUUGACCGCCGCGAUAGACACCGAUGAGGAGCGGGGUAUAAUUGACAUUUGGGUAUGGGUACAUUAAACCUCAUACAUGUUGGAUCGUUUUAUGAUGUUCAUAGCGUUUUUUAUGAUGUUCAUAGCGUUAGGUUUGGCUUAAAAACUGCAAUUAAAAAUUUAUUUAGGUGUAUGACUUUUUUAGUUUAAGUAUGUAGUUUGUUUUAUGUAUAAUAAAAAAUAAUAUUCAUUCUGAUUAUUUUUGUGAUCUUAUUUCCUGUCUAACGUUUUUUUCUUGUAAAUUUAUGAAUCAAAAAUUUUAUAAAUAUCCAGUUGUAUUUGAUUAUUAAUUUAUCGUUACAAUCAUUUUCCCCAAAAAAUUUAUAUCCAAUAGUUUACAAACAAUAUAUACAUUUCUAAUAGUUAAAACACAUUUAUACAUCUUUUAUAAAAAAAGUGGAUUUGUUUAAUUGAAAUAGGUAAAAAUUCAUAUCCAAAACCUUAAUUAAUUACUGGGCGGUUAACAUUUUUUACCAAAAGAUUUUGAAGAAUUUACAACAAUUUAUCAUAAACCCUCAACAGAUGAUAUAGUAAUUAUUGUAAAAGCUGAAGUUUAUAUUUUUUUCAUUAUCUACUUUUAGAUUUAAAACUAAUUAUCCGAAAUCUAUAAGCGAAGAAUUUAAAAUAUCAAGUCCAAUUUCGGCAGCGAUAACAACUUACUCAGGUGGUAUUUAUCUUUUUCUCAGAGAUAAUACAUAUAUUACAUUAUCUAGUUGCAUCUCUGGAUAUAAUGUUCCUGGUUUAACAAACGAAUUAUUUGAAGGUGUUCCUAAUAAAAUAACAAGGACAUUUAGAUAUUUAAACGGAAAGCUGUACUUUUUUAAUGAAAAUAAUUACUUUGAAUAUGAUGAGUUUACUAAGAGUGUCAUACAAGCGGGACCUAAAACUUUAUCUAUAUUUAACAUUAAUUGUCCGCGAGAACCCAUCUUAAUUCAAUUGAAAAAAUUAUCUUUUAAAAAGAUUAUUACACACAAUGCAGUCCUGGUUGAAAAUUUAACAGAUUAUACUCGUGAAGAAGAUAGUUGGUGUAGUUGGUGUAUUCAUCAGUGUUUGUUUACACUUCAGACCUACAAAAGUUGUGCCAAAAAGACGCAUCGUAAGUUUAUCGAAAAUAUUGACUUCGGCACAAGUUCUUCAUCCACAAAUUCUUCCGAUUCAGACUACUGAAUUCUUCUCUAAAACCAACAUAAAUAAUCUUUUUUUGGAAAAUUUUUAUCAAAUUUUUAUCAAACAAAAAGUGCGUCACAAAAUUCCUACGAUAAGGAAAGCGUGUUAUCUGUUAACCGCAAAAAUUGAUUAUAAAAGUUCCGUUUUUUACACAUUUCACCAGUUUUAUUAAAACUAUCUUUGUGAGAAGUUGUAUGUGCUCCGCUGUGUAUUUUUGCAUUUAAAUUUCAAAGGAUUCUGUAAUGGCUGAUCAACUAUUAAAUCUGAAUAAAAUUGCUGCCUGUGAAUAUACUGAUACAUAUGUCAGUGCCAACGAUUUGGAAGUGAACAAGAAAUAUAAAAUCAUCAAUUUAACCAAGGCAAACACACAACAUGGGGUUAUGAUGGUAGCAUAUCUGGACAACGUCGGUAAAGUUUUUUUACCUAAACGACUAACAGCAGUUAUGAAUGAUACCAUAAUUACGACACUAAUGGAAGGACUCGGAUCUUAUUUGAUUUAUAUGGGACGUAAGCAAGCUAAUGGAAAUCAGGAACAUGAUGCCCACAUUUUUAAUUUCGAACGUAUUGUUCACGAAGAUUAAUGUAAAAUUUUUUGGUUUCCAAAAUAGACAGCACUAUCCACUCUACCUACCUGAGGUUCGACUCCCCAUGGAAGGAACAACAACAACAACAACUUUUUUUGCAUUAUAUUUUAAACAAAUAACAAAAUAAACUUGGUGCGCAACAGACAAGUUAGGCAAACAACAUUACAAAAAUAAAAAACUACAUAUA